ACACGAACCGUCCGAACGUUAUUCGGAAUCACUGGGCUUAAAGGGUGCGUAGGCGGCUUAGUAGGUGGGGUGUGAAAGCCCUCGGCUCAACCGAGGAAUUGCGCCCCAAACCACUAGGCUUGAGGGAGACAGAGGUAAGCGGAACUGAUGGUGGAGCGGUGAAAUGCGUUGAUAUCAUCAGGAACACCGGUGGCAAAAGCGGCUUACUGGGUCUCUUCUGACGCUGAGGCACGAAAGCUAGGGUAGCGAACGGGAUUAGAAACCCCAGUAGUCC
RNAcentral lists this ribosomal RNA (274 nucleotides) under uncultured bacterium. Its description in RNAcentral is "partial 16S ribosomal RNA". It matches the Rfam family "Bacterial small subunit ribosomal RNA", at positions 523 to 796 of the family's 1533-position model. The record is from RNAcentral.